GCAGAGCCUACCGGUUGACGUCUCAAUCGCGUUGUGCUUGUUUUGGCCAACAGAGGGGGCUGCUCGCUAUAGCAGCUUCAUUCACUCUUCUUCUACUAACUACUUGCUCGCGAUAGUUUUAGAAAAAACUGCAGUGGAAAACUCGGACAGAAGCUAGCAAGUGUCAGGUGAAUCCACAACAUCACCACAAACGUCUUUUCAAGCCAGACUACCAGGACCACUGAAUGGCUGUUCAGAUCAGUUCUACACAGACUACCAGGACCACUGAAUGGCUGUUCAGAUCAGUUCUACACAGACUACCAGGACCACUGAAUGGCUGUUCAGAUCAGUUCUACACAGACUACCAGGACCACUGAAUGGCUGUUCAGAUCAGUUCUACACAGACUACCAGGACCACUGAAUGGCUGUUCAGAUCAGUUCUGCACAGACUACCAGGACCACUGAAUGGCUGUUCAGAUCAGUUCUACACAGACUACCAGGACCACUGAAUGGCUGUUCAGAUCAGUUCUACACAGACUACCAGGACCACUGAAUGGCUGUUCAGAUCAGUUCUACACAGACUACCAGGACCACUGAAUGGCUGUUCAGAUCAGUUCUACACAGACUACCAGGACCACUGAAUGGCUGUUCAGAUCAGUUCUACACAGACUACCAGGACCACUGAAUGGCUGUUCAGAUCAGUUCUACACAGACUACCAGGACCACUGAAUGGCUGUUCAGAUCAGUUCUACCCAGACUACCAGGACCACUGAAUGGCUGUUCAGAUCGGACAGUUCUGUCUUGUCUGUAGUGUUUCUGUAACAGUUGUUUUCUCUAUCACAGUGUUAGACUCAAUACAUGAAACCGGAAUUGUCCCCCCUUUUUAUUUCAUAGAUAUUAACAUUGGAUAUUUUAAUUAUAUAUUGACCGCAGAACUGGAAAUGUCCCUGGUUUUCAUUUCAGAAAUCUGGUCACCUUAGGUUAAAGAGCUAUUGAAUUUAGAAAAUUUGAUUUGUUAUUAUGUUGACGGUCCCUAACUGCUGUUGGUGGACAUAAGGAAAACUACAUGCGAAUAUCCGUCAAAUAUCAAACCUGAAACUGUCUUUACCUCGGUGCGAAUUGGUUAGGUUACUAAUGUUUACUCAUCUGAUGUUGUAGCUGUCUGACUUUAUUAGCAAAGCUAAUUUUCACACCAUAAACUCAUUUAUUUGACCAGAUAAAUUGGCUAAUGUUACUCAACAUUUCUCUGCCGAGCCAAUGUCCAUCACAAUUUCUCCCUCACCUCAAACUUUCCAAAUACCAGUAGGUUUCGGUUACAGCUCAUGAAGUACGCUUUGUCACCUUCUCACCCUGGUCAGGCUUAUCACCUAACGUUAUCGUUGGUGCUGUAACUAGUGAUUGGCUGUCUCUUCUUUCUUCCAUUCUGUUAUGUAAACGAUUGGCGGAGCCUUGCAUACAGUCAGUAUUGCUACAAACGCGGUUUACUCGUUCGCUUAGACAGCUGUGAUCCAAACCACCCCCCAAAACUUUUUUCAUCGGAUCUACACGAAUCACGUAGGUCACCUAUUUUGGAUUCAAAACGGCGAAUUACACCAAAAGGUGACUAGUUUGCAUCCCUGCAGGAUUCAGUUUAUUACAGUCAAUGAGUUGAGGACAGUUUGAGUGUGUUUCUCCAUCCUUGUAGUGGAUCAUCAGGAAAGCUAUAUAUAUACACUCAUUAUACUGCACUUCACACAGCUCAGAGAUCACCAUCAGAUCAAUGGUCCAUACACACUCAGGUUGUACAACUGAUGUUCAUUGCAUUUGGGGAACACCCGAGUCAGGUGAUAGGUGACUAUUCCGGUAAAGAGAGAUUCGUUAAUUUGUUCAAAUUGUAGCCGAGUCAAGCCAGUUGUACAAGUUGGUACCUGGUAGAAAUACAUAUUUGAGGUAAAAUAAAUCAAGUGAUGCAGCCAAAUCAAAAUCAAAUCAAAUCAAAUUUAUUUGUCACAUACACAUGGUUAGCAGAUGUUAAUGCGAGCGUAGCGAAAUGCUUGUGCUUCUAGUUCCGACAAUGCAGUAAUAACGAACAAGUGAUCUAACUAACAAUUCAAAAAAAAACUACUGUCUUAUACACAGUGUAAGGGGAUAAAGAAUAUGUACAUAAAGAUAUAUGAAUGAGUGAUGGUACAGAGCAGCAUAGGCAAGAUACAGUAGAUGAUAUCGAGUAUGUAAACCAAGUGGCAUAGUUAAAGUGGCCAGGUCACACCUGUGGAAAAAUAUGGUCCAAAGGCCCCAAAAAUGUUGCCAUGGUAACGUGGGCAGGUGCGUGGUCUGGGUGGUGUGUGCUGGGUUGGUCUUAGAAUUCAUAGGGACUGGGGGGGAGAGCAGGGUGGGUCCUCCCACCAUUGAUAUCAUAGGGACAGGGGGGGAGAGCAGGGUGGGUCCUCCCACCAUUGAUAUCAUAGGGACUGGGGGGGAGAGCAGGGUGGGUCCUCCCACCAUUGAUAUCAUAGGGACUGGGGGGGGAGAGCAGGGUGGGUCCUCCCACCAUUGACAUCAUAGGGACUGGGGGGGAGAGCAGGGUGGGUCCUCCCACCAUUGAUAUCAUAGGGACUGGGGGGGAGAGCAGGGUGGGUCCUCCCACCAUUGAUAUCAUAGGGACUUGGGGGGAGAGCAGGGUGGGUCCUCCCACCAUUGAUAUCAUAGGGACUGGGGGGAAGAGCAGGGUGGGUCCUCCCACCAUUGAUAUCAUAGGGACUGGGGGGGGAGAGCAGGGUGGGUCCUCCCACCAUUGAUAUCAUAGGGACUGGGGGGGAGAGCAGGGUGGGUCCUCCCACCAUUGAUAUCAUAGGGACUGGGGGGGAGAGCAGGGUGGGUCCUCCCACCAUUGAUAUCAUAGGGACUUGGGGGGAGAGCAGGGUGGGUCCUCCCACCAUUGAUAUCAUAGGGACUGGGGGGGAGAGCAGGGUGGGUCCUCCCACCAUUGAUAUACAAUAUCAAGUGACGCAGCAGUGGAUAGUUGAAGAGGUCUGUCUCCAGUACGCACUACCACCACUUCUCAAACAGUAUCCUGUCCUGGGAUAGGCCUAAACUGAGCAAGGUCUGGACCACGCUCUCUAUCAUAGGUGGAGGGCCACACAGGUAACACAGCAGUGUUAGGGUCGACGUGGCGACGCAACUCCCAACCUCUGAUAGCCUCCCACCUGUGGAAGAUCAAAUCAACAUUUAUUUAAAAAAUCAAAUAAAAACACAUGGAAAAUGUACUUUCAUGUAGUGGUGUCAUUUUAUGGGCUAGCAUCCAUUUAAAUGAAUUGGGAAUGUAUUUUUUAACAGCCAAAUGAAACAUCCAGUUAAUAAACCAUCUUUAGUUUCAUUUCCAACCCA
This is a long non-coding RNA of Oncorhynchus kisutch (coho salmon), 3345 nucleotides long. RefSeq lists it as uncharacterized. NCBI's taxonomy places the organism in Eukaryota, Metazoa, Chordata, Actinopteri, Salmoniformes, Salmonidae. The record is from RefSeq and is a predicted model, not a curated record. The transcript has 2 exons.